Molecule: ribosomal RNA, 253 nt
Filed under: uncultured bacterium
Lineage: Bacteria
Description: partial 16S ribosomal RNA
Rfam family: Bacterial small subunit ribosomal RNA
Source: RNAcentral
UACGGGGGGGGUAAGCGUUGUUCGGAAUUACUGGGCGUAAAGGGCUCGUAGGCGGCCAACUAAGUCAUACGUGAAAUCCCUCAGCUUAACUGGGGAACUGCGUGUGAUACUGGAUGGCUUGGAUUUGGGAGAGGGAUGCGGAAUUCCAGGUGUAGCGGUGAAAUGCGUAGAUAUCUGGAGGAACACCGAUGGCGAAGGCAGGUCUCUGGGCCACUACUGACGCUGAGAAGCGAAAGCAUGGGGAGCGAACAGG